This 21-nucleotide non-coding RNA is filed under the name Rattus norvegicus (Norway rat). Lineage: Eukaryota; Metazoa; Chordata; Mammalia; Rodentia; Muridae. The record is from RNAcentral.
GAAGAGAUAAUUGGUGCUGGG